GGGGAUCUAGCUCAAAUGGUAGAGCGCUCGCUUUGCAAGUCAGAAGUGACUCAAAUUUGCGAGAGGCACAGGGAUCGAUGCCCUGGAUCUCCA
This is a non-coding RNA of Paraphysoderma sedebokerense, 93 nucleotides long. Lineage: Eukaryota; Fungi; Blastocladiomycota; Physodermatomycetes; Physodermatales; Physodermataceae. The record is from the annotation of a GenBank genome assembly.